Molecule: transfer RNA, 126 nt
Filed under: Penicillium salamii
Lineage: Eukaryota; Fungi; Ascomycota; Eurotiomycetes; Eurotiales; Aspergillaceae
Description: tRNA-Pro
Source: RNAcentral
GCCUGGUUGGCCGAGUGGUUGAGGCGCUGCGGGGGCGCGCCAACCCGGGAGCGUGCACCCAUAAGCGAGUGCCCCCAAGGUUGGCGCGUCUUCCAGAGACCCUGGGUUCGAAUGCCAGAUCGGGCA